UGGUAGACGAGAGAAAGGCGUGCGGGGGCGCGCGGGAGAGGGAAAAAAGGGAGGAGGGGCGUGGGGGAGAAGAAAGAUAGAGUGCGGGACGGAGGAGGGGGAAGGGGGGGGGGGGGUUCCACCCCGCUGGGAACUUAAGCAUAUCAAUAAGCGGAGGAAAAGAAACCAACAGGGAUUACCUCAGUAACGGCGAGUGAAGCGGUAACAGCUCAAAUUUGAAAGCUAGCUCUUUUAGGGUUCGCAUUGUAAUUUGUAGAAGAUGCUUCGGGUGUGGCCCCGGUCUAAGUUCCUUGGAACAGGACGUCAUAGAGGGUGAGAAUCCCGUAUGUGACUGGGUGCUUUCGCUCAUGUGAAGCUCUUUCGACGAGUCGAGUUGUUUGGGAAUGCAGCUCAAAAUGGGUGGUAAAUUUCAUCUAAAGCUAAAUAUUGGCCAGAGACCGAUAGCGCACAAGUAGAGUGAUCGAAAGAUGAAAAGCACUUUGGAAAGAGAGUUAAACAGUACGUGAAAUUGUUGAAAGGGAAGCGCUUGCAACCAGACUUGCGCGCUGAUGAUCAUCCGGGCUUCUGCCCGGUGCACUCGUCUGCGCUCAGGCCAGCAUCGGUUUCGGUGGUGGGAUAAAGGCCUUGGGAAUGUAGCUCCUCUCGGGGAGUGUUAUAGCCCUCGGUGCAAUGCCGCCUACCGGGACCGAGGACCGCGCUUCGGCUAGGAUGCUGGCGUAAUGGUUGUAAGCGACCCGUCUUGAAACACGGACCAAGGAGUCUAACAUCUAUGCGAGUGUUUGGGUGUCAAACCCAUACGCGUAAUGAAAGUGAACGGAGGUGAGAACCCUUAAGGGUGCAUCAUCGACCGAUCCUGAUGUCUUCGGAUGGAUUUGAGUAAGAGCAUAGCUGUUGGGACCCGAAAGAUGGUGAACUAUGCGUGAAUAGGGUGAAGCCAGAGGAAACUCUGGUGGAGGCUCGCAGCGGUUCUGACGUGCAAAUCGAUCGUCAAAUUUGCGUAUAGGGGCGAAAGACUAAUCGAACCAUCUAGUAGCUGGUUCCUGCCGAAGU
RNAcentral lists this ribosomal RNA (1050 nucleotides) under Pyrenopeziza chamaenerii. RNAcentral describes it as "LSU rRNA". It matches the Rfam family "Eukaryotic large subunit ribosomal RNA", at positions 1 to 967 of the family's 3401-position model. The record is from RNAcentral. Lineage: Eukaryota; Fungi; Ascomycota; Leotiomycetes; Helotiales; Ploettnerulaceae.